UUGAACGCUGGCGGCAGGCCUCACACAUGCAAGUCGAGCGGAUGAAGGGAGCUUGCUCCUGGAUCCAGCGGCGGACGGGUGAGUAAUGCCUAGGAAUCUGCCUGGUAGUGGGGGAUAACGUCCGGAAACGGGCGCUAAUACCGCAUACGUCCUGAGGGAGAAAGUGGGGGAUCUUCGGACCUCACGCUAUCAGAUGAGCCUAGGUCGGAUUAGCUAGUUGGUGGGGUAAAGGCCUACCAAGGCGACGAUCCGUAACUGGUCUGAGAGGAUGAUCAGUCACACUGGAACUGAGACACGGUCCAGACUCCUACGGGAGGCAGCAGUGGGGAAUAUUGGACAAUGGGCGAAAGCCUGAUCCAGCCAUGCCGCGUGUGUGAAGAAGGUCUUCGGAUUGUAAAGCACUUUAAGUUGGGAGGAAGGGCAGUAAGUUAAUACCUUGCUGUUUUGACGUUACCAACAGAAUAAGCACCGGCUAACUUCGUG
Molecule: ribosomal RNA, 483 nt
Filed under: uncultured bacterium
Lineage: Bacteria
Description: partial 16S ribosomal RNA
Rfam family: Bacterial small subunit ribosomal RNA
Source: RNAcentral